Molecule: ribosomal RNA, 492 nt
Filed under: uncultured bacterium
Lineage: Bacteria
Description: partial 16S ribosomal RNA
Rfam family: Bacterial small subunit ribosomal RNA
Source: RNAcentral
AGUGAACGCUGGCGGUAGGCCUAACACAUGCAAGUCGAACGGCAGCACAGUAAGAGCUUGCUCUUACGGGUGGCGAGUGGCGGACGGGUGAGGAAUACAUCGGAAUCUACUUUUUCGUGGGGGAUAACGUAGGGAAACUUACGCUAAUACCGCAUACGACCUACGGGUGAAAGCAGGGGAGCUUCGGACCUUGCGCGAUUGAAUGAGCCGAUGUCGGAUUAGCUAGUUGGCGGGGUAAAGGCCCACCAAGGCGACGAUCCGUAGCUGGUCUGAGAGGAUGAUCAGCCAAACUGGAACUGAGACACGGUCCAGCCUCCUACGGGAGGCAGCAGUGGGGAAUAUUGGACAAUGGGCGCAAGCCUGAUCCAGCAAUACCGCGUGGGUGAAGAAGGCCUUCGAGUUGUAAAGCCCUUUUGUUGGGAAAGAAAAGCAGCAGGUUAAUACCCCGCUGUUCUGACGGUACCCAAAGAAUAAGCACCGGCUAACUUCGUG